RNAcentral lists this ribosomal RNA (337 nucleotides) under uncultured bacterium. RNAcentral's name for it is "bacterial SSU rRNA". It matches the Rfam family "Bacterial small subunit ribosomal RNA", at positions 32 to 361 of the family's 1533-position model. The record is from RNAcentral.
AAUCAACGCUGGCGGCGUGCCUCAGACAUGCAAGUCGAACGAUUAAAGCUCUCUUCGGAGAGUGUAUAGAGUGGCGCACGGGUGAGUAACACGUAAGUAAUCUACCCUCGAGUGGGGAAUAACGUCCGGAAACGGACGCUAAUACCGCAUAAUGCAGCGGCACCGCAAGGUGACAGUUGUUAAAGAUUUAUCGCUUGAGGAGGAGCUUGCGGCAGAUUAGCAGUUGGUAAGGUAAUGGCUUACCAAGGCUACGAUCUGUAACCGGUCUAAGAGGACGGGUCGGUCACACUGACACUGAAUAACGGGUCAGACUCCUACGGGAGGCAGCAGUCGGGAA